This 490-nucleotide ribosomal RNA is filed under the name uncultured bacterium. Its description in RNAcentral is "bacterial SSU rRNA". It matches the Rfam family "Bacterial small subunit ribosomal RNA", at positions 29 to 507 of the family's 1533-position model. The record is from RNAcentral.
AACAAACGCUGGCGGCGUGUCUUAAGCAUGCAAGUUGAGCGGCAAGGAGGAGAGAUCCUCCCUAGAGCAGCGGACUGGUGAGUAACGCGUGGGUAAUCUAUCUUAGGCAUGGGGAUAGUCACUAGAAGUAGUGGGUAAUACCGAAUAAGUUCCAUAAGGGGAGGACUUAUGGAAGAAAGGUGCUACGGCACUGGCCUUAGGUGAGCUCGCGUCCCAUUAGCUAGUUGGUGAGGUAAAGGCCCACCAAGGCGAUGAUGGGUAGCCGGCCUGAGAGGGUGUACGGCCACACUGGGACUGAGAUACGGCCCAGACUCCUACGGGAGGCAGCAGCUAAGAAUAUUCCGCAAUGGACGGAAGUCUGACGGAGCGACGCCGCGUGGAUGAAGAAGGCCGAAAGGUUGUAAAGUUCUUUUGCUAGGGGAGAAUAAGUGUGGGAGGGAAUGCCUGCACGAUGACAAGGACUAGCGAAUAAGUCCCGGCCAACUACGUG